GGCGCUUCUUGUAUAUUUUUUAAAAAAAGACAAGAAGAAGUAAAACAAAAAUAUUUUUUCCUUCUGUCAAAGGAUCACAAAUUCAUUGACAUUCACAAACAUUCAUCAGCCGAUAUGUUUCUCUUUUAUAAUUGUAGUACUUACUUGUGGUAGGUUGCUCAGUAACAGUCAGGCGCACAGGGAACUGGAGGUUUCCACUGACACAUAAAUACCAGCCGCUGCUCUCCGUCUUCAGUCCUCUCAUAGUCACGC
Gasterosteus aculeatus aculeatus (three-spined stickleback) is the source of this 252-nucleotide non-coding RNA. The record is from RefSeq and is a predicted model, not a curated record. Lineage: Eukaryota; Metazoa; Chordata; Actinopteri; Perciformes; Gasterosteidae.